Ostrea edulis (European flat oyster) is the source of this 645-nucleotide long non-coding RNA. RefSeq lists it as uncharacterized. The record is from RefSeq and is a predicted model, not a curated record. The transcript is spliced from 3 exons. NCBI's taxonomy places the organism in Eukaryota, Metazoa, Mollusca, Bivalvia, Ostreida, Ostreidae.
AGGUGACUUUACAAGCGACAUCGUAUUACUCGACUGUCCAUGAAACGUAGAAGGAAACAAACAAUCUUGUUUAGAAUAGCUGACUCACCGGGAUCCCCAUUUUCGAGGGAAAUAUUUUGGAAAUAAUGGAUAAAUUUAGCAAUCCAUGAUUAGGAUGUACAAAGAAAUCGUGAAUGGUGGUCAGCCGGAGAAUUAUAUAUAUAAGGCGACUUCUAUCAAAGCAGAUCAGCAUACACUUCCAGUUCCUAGUUCUUGUGCAAAGAAGUAAGACAACAGUCCAUCCCAAUGAAAUCUUCCUGCUUCGCUUUGUUGGUCGCCUGUUUGUUGAUCGCGACAGCUCAGGCCACGUGGUACGGACCCUAUGGGCGUGGAGGAUGGGGAGGUAACUACUACGGAGGAUAUGGUAUGGGUGGUCUCGGAGGCGGAUAUCUAGGUGGCGGAUACUACGGGGGCGGAAUGAUCGGUGGUGGAUAUUAUGGAGGAAUGGGAAAUGGAUUCCUUGGCUUUGGGCGCGGAGGUUACGGCAAGAGAGGAUAUUAUUAAAUGUUAUUGACAUAUGAAACCUGAUUGAAAUCCAACAAGACUUACGUAAAAAAAAAAAAAUAAAUAAAAAAUGAAUAAAAACACAUUUGAGCAAAACAUUCA